UAGGGAAUCUUCCGCAAUGGGCGAAAGCCUGACGGAGCAACGCCGCGUGAGUGAUGAAGGUCUUCGGAUCGUAAAACUCUGUUAUUAGGGAAGAAUAAAUGUGUAAGUAACUAUGCACGUCUUGACGGUACCUAAUCAGAAAGCCACGGCUAACUACGUGCCAGCAGCCGCGGUAAUACGUAGGUGGCAAGCGUUAUCCGGAAUUAUUGGGCGUAAAGCGCGCGUAGGCGGUUUUUUAAGUCUGAUGUGAAAGCCCACGGCUCAACCGUGGAGGGUCAUUGGAAACUGGUUGACUUGAGUGCAGAAGAGGAGAGUGGAAUUCCAUGUGUAGCGGUGAAAUGCGUAGAUAUAUGGAGGAACACCAGUGGCGAAGGCGACUCUCUGGUCUGUAACUGACGCUGAGGCUCGAAAGCGUGGGUAGCAAACAGG
This 429-nucleotide ribosomal RNA is filed under the name Bacteroidota bacterium. Its description in RNAcentral is "Bacteroidetes bacterium partial 16S ribosomal RNA". It matches the Rfam family "Bacterial small subunit ribosomal RNA", at positions 355 to 776 of the family's 1533-position model. Lineage: Bacteria; Pseudomonadati; Bacteroidota. The record is from RNAcentral.